UGGGGAAUCUUCCGCAAUGGACGAAAGUCUGACGGAGCAACGCCGCGUGAGUGAUGACGGCCUUCGGGUUGUAAAGCUCUGUUAAUUGGGACGCAUGGUUCUGGUUCGAAUAGUCCGAGGAUUUGACGGUACCGGAAUAGAAAGCCACGGCUACCUACGUUCCAGCAGCCGCGGUAAUACGUAGGUGGCAAGCGUUGUCCGGAAUUAUUGGGGGUAAAGCGCGCGCAGGCGGAUUGGUCAGUCUGUCUUAAAAGUUCGAGGCUUAACCCCGAUCUGGGAUGGAAACUGCCAAUCUAGAGUAUCGGAGAGGAAAGUGGAAUUCCUAGUGUAGCGGUGAAAUGCGUAGAUAUUAGGAAGAACACCAGUGGCGAAGGAGACUUUCUGGACGAAAACUGACGCUGAGGCGCGAUAGCCAGAGGGGCGAACGGG
This 429-nucleotide ribosomal RNA is filed under the name bacterium. RNAcentral's name for it is "partial 16S ribosomal RNA". It matches the Rfam family "Bacterial small subunit ribosomal RNA", at positions 355 to 776 of the family's 1533-position model. The record is from RNAcentral.